UCCUACGGGAGGCAGCAGUGGGGAAUAUUGCGCAAUGGGGGGAACCCUGACGCAGCCAUGCCGCGUGAAUGAAGGAGGCCUUCGGGUUGUAAAGUUCUUUCGGUAAUGAGGAAGGGAUGUUAUUAAAUAGAUAGCAUCAUUGACGUUAAUUACAGAAGAAGCACCGGCUAACUCCGUGCCAGCAGCCGCGGUAAUACGGAGGGUGCGAGCGUUAAUCGGAAUAACUGGGCGUAAAGGGCACGCAGGCGGACUUUUAAGUGAGAUGUGAAAUCCCCGAGCUUAACUUGGGAACUGCAUUUCAGACUGGGAGUCUAGAGUACUUUAGGGAGGGGUAGAAUUCCACGUGUAGCGGUGAAAUGCGUAGAGAUGUGGAGGAAUACCGAAGGCGAAGGCAGCCCCUUGGGAAUGUACUGACGCUCAUGUGCGAAAGCGUGGGGAGCAAACAGGAUUAGAUACCCUGGUAGUCC
This 467-nucleotide ribosomal RNA is filed under the name uncultured bacterium. RNAcentral's name for it is "bacterial SSU rRNA". It matches the Rfam family "Bacterial small subunit ribosomal RNA", at positions 337 to 796 of the family's 1533-position model. The record is from RNAcentral.